AUGAGAACAUGCCCUUCGGGGUAGAUCUCCCACCCUUUGUUUAUUAUACCUUUGUUGCUUUGGCAGGCCCGUCCUCGGACCGCUGGCUUCGGCUGGUUAGCGCCUGCCAAAGGACCCCAAACUCUGAAUGUUAGUGUCGUCUGAGUACUAUACAAUAGUUA
This 161-nucleotide unclassified non-coding RNA is filed under the name uncultured Ascomycota. Its description in RNAcentral is "sequence contains ITS1". Lineage: Eukaryota; Fungi; Ascomycota. The record is from RNAcentral.